Molecule: ribosomal RNA, 468 nt
Filed under: uncultured bacterium
Lineage: Bacteria
Description: partial 16S ribosomal RNA
Rfam family: Bacterial small subunit ribosomal RNA
Source: RNAcentral
GACGAACGCUGGCGGCGUGCUUAACACAUGCAAGUCGAACGGAAAGGCCCUGCCUUUGUGGGGUGCUCGAGUGGCGAACGGGUGAGUAACACGUGAGUAACCUGCCCUUGACUUUGGGAUAACUUCAGGAAACUGGGGCUAAUACCGGAUAGGAGCUCCUGCUGCAUGGUGGGGGUUGGAAAGUUUCGGCGGUUGGGGAUGGACUCGCGGCUUAUCAGCUUGUUGGUGGGGUAGUGGCUUACCAAGGCUUUGACGGGUAGCCGGCCUGAGAGGGGGACCGGCCACAUGGGGACUGAGAUACGGCCCAGACUCCUACGGGAGGCAGCAGUGGGGAAUAUUGCACAAUGGGCGGACGCCUGAUGCAGCAACGCCGCGUGCGGGAUGACGGCCUUCGGGUUGUAAACCGCUUUCGCCUGUGACGAAGCGUGAGUGACGGUAAUGGGUAAAGAAGCACCGGCUAACUACGUG